Molecule: ribosomal RNA, 460 nt
Filed under: uncultured bacterium
Lineage: Bacteria
Description: partial 16S ribosomal RNA
Rfam family: Bacterial small subunit ribosomal RNA
Source: RNAcentral
CCUACGGGAGGCAGCAGUGAGGAAUAUUGGUCAAUGGGCUUACGCCUGAACCAGCCAAGUCGCGUGAGGGAAGACUGCCCUAUGGGUUGUAAACCUCUUUUGUCAGGGAGCAACGCCUGCUACGUGUAGCCGGACUGAGAGUACCUGAGGAAAAAGCAUCGGCUAACUCCGUGCCAUCAGCCGCGGUAAUACGGAGGAUGCGAGCUUUAUCCGGAUUUAUUGGGUUUAAAGGGUGGGCAGGCGGACUGUUAAGUCAGCGGUAAAAUCACGGGGCUCAACCCCGGCGAGCCGUUGAAACUGGUUGUCUUGAGAUGUCGAGAGGUAUGCGGAAUGCGCAGUGUAGCGGUGAAAUGCUUAGAUAUUGCGCAGAACUCCGAUUGCGAAGGCAGCAUACCGGCGGCGAUCUGACGCUGAGGCACGAAAGUGUGGGUAUCGAACAGGAUUAGAUACCCCGGUAGUC